Penaeus chinensis is the source of this 270-nucleotide long non-coding RNA. RefSeq lists it as uncharacterized. Lineage: Eukaryota; Metazoa; Arthropoda; Malacostraca; Decapoda; Penaeidae. The record is from RefSeq and is a predicted model, not a curated record. The transcript is spliced from 3 exons.
CAUAGUUCUAGUAAUGAUAUUCAAUUGUUUUGCCGUGUUCAAUGAUAAUAUCAUAUUCUUCUUAAUCUUCCAGGUGAGUCUGCGCUGGUGUUUCGUAAUCAGCAACUGUAAGGAUGUUAUUUGGCGACGAGGCCCCCUGGUCGGCGCUUGCAUGCUCUCUUCUAAGAGUUCGGUGACAAAGAGAAGUUAUUUAAAAAGUGUAAGAACUGGUGGGGACAGAUGGCUUGCUGUGAGACGAAGGGAAGUGUUACUAAUCCGAUAAAAAGCCGG